Molecule: ribosomal RNA, 256 nt
Filed under: Rhodosorus marinus
Lineage: Eukaryota; Rhodophyta; Stylonematophyceae; Stylonematales; Stylonemataceae
Description: partial Eukaryotic large subunit ribosomal RNA
Rfam family: Eukaryotic large subunit ribosomal RNA
Source: RNAcentral
AGCUCAAAUUUGAAAGCUGGCGUCUUCGGCGUCCGCGUUGUAAUCUCGAGACGUGUUUUCCGUGCGGCUCUAUGGACAAGUCCCUUGGAACAGGGCAUCGUAGAGGGUGAAAAUCCCGUACUUGCCAUGGAAGUACCGUGCUUUGUGAUACACGCUCCAAGAGUCGAGUAGUUUGGGAUUGCUGCUCAAAGUGGGUGGUAGACUCCAUCUAAAGCUAAAUAUCGGGGAGAGACCGAUAGCGAACAAGUACCGUGAG